GAUGAACGCUAGCUACAGGCUUAACACAUGCAAGUCGAGGGGAAACGACAUCGAAAGCUUGCUUUUGAUGGGCGUCGACCGGCGCACGGGUGAGUAACGCGUAUCCAACCUGCCCACCACUUGGGGAUAACCUAGCGAACGUAAGACUACUACCCAAUCAUAACUCUAGAAGACAUCUGAAAGGGAUUAAAGAUUUAUCGGGUAUGUAUGGGGAUGCAUCUGAGUAGCUUGGUGGCAGGGUAACGGCCCACCAAGGCGACGAUCAGUAGGGGUUGUGAGAGGAAGGUCCCCCACAUUGGAACUGAGACACGGUCCAAACUCCUACGGGAGGCAGCAGUGAGGAAUAUUGGUCAAUGGACGAGAGUCUGAACCAGCCAAGUAGCGUGCAGGAUGACGGCCCUAUGGGUUGUAAACUGCUUUUAUAAGGGAAUAAAGUGAGUCUCGUGAGACUUUUUGCAUGUACCUUAUGAAUAAGGACCGGCUAAUUCCGUGCCAGCCGCCGCCGUAA
Molecule: ribosomal RNA, 508 nt
Filed under: uncultured bacterium
Lineage: Bacteria
Description: partial 16S ribosomal RNA
Rfam family: Bacterial small subunit ribosomal RNA
Source: RNAcentral